CCUACGGGGGGCAGCAGUGAGGAAUAUUGGUCAAUGGGCGCGAGCCUGAACCAGCCAAGUCGCGUGAGGGAAGACGGUCCUAUGGAUUGUAAACCUCUUUUGCCGGGGAGCAAAAGCCGCCACGCGUGGCGUUCCGAGAGUACCCGAAGAAAAAGCAUCGGCUAACUCCGUUCCAGCAGCCGCGGUAAUACGGAGGGUGCGAGCGUUAUCCGGAUUUAUUGGGGUUAAAGGGUGCGCAGGCGGAAGGUCAAGUCAGCGGGAAAAUUGAGAGGCUCAACCUCUUCGAGCCGUUGAAACUGGUUUUCUUGAGUGAGUGAGAAGUAUGCGGAAUGCGUGGUGUAGCGGUGAAAUGCAUAGAUAUCACGCAGAACUCCGAUUGCGAAGGCAGUAUACCGGCGCUCAACUGACGCUGAUGCACGAAAGUGCGGGUAUCGAACAGGAUUAGAUACCCCAGUAGUC
RNAcentral lists this ribosomal RNA (459 nucleotides) under uncultured bacterium. RNAcentral's name for it is "partial 16S ribosomal RNA". It matches the Rfam family "Bacterial small subunit ribosomal RNA", at positions 338 to 795 of the family's 1533-position model. The record is from RNAcentral.